Molecule: ribosomal RNA, 492 nt
Filed under: uncultured bacterium
Lineage: Bacteria
Description: partial 16S ribosomal RNA
Rfam family: Bacterial small subunit ribosomal RNA
Source: RNAcentral
AGUGAACGCUGGCGGUAGGCCUAACACAUGCAAGUCGAACGGCAGCACAGUAAGAGCUUGCUCUUACGGGUGGCGAGUGGCGGACGGGUGAGGAAUACAUCGGCAUCUACUUUUUCGUGGGGGAUAACGUAGGGAAACUUACGCUAAUACCGCAUACGACAUACGGGUGAAAGCAGGGGAUCUUCGGACCUUGCGCGAUUGAAUGAGCCGAUGUCGGAUUAGCUAGUUGGCGGGGUAAAGGCCCACCAAGGCGACGAUCCGUAGCUGGUCUGAGAGGAUGAUCAGCCACACUGGAACUGAGACACGGUCCAGACUCCUACGGGAGGCAGCAGUGGGGAAUAUUGGACAAUGGGCGCAAGCCUGAUCCAGCCAUACCGCGUGGGUGAAGAAGGCCUUCGGGUUGUAAAGCCCUUUUGUUGGGAAAGAAAAGCAGCAGGUUAAUACCCCGCUGUUCUGACGGUACCCAAAGAAUAAGCACCGGCUAACUUCGUG